AGAGACAGGACGUAUCUGUCGUAGUAUGUGGAUUCCCUCGGCGAGUAACACAUAUGCCGCGGGGGUACGCCAAAUUAAAUAAAAAGAUGGGGGACCCGCCACAGCAGUGUUUUUGUGUUUAUUCGAACAACGGAAGACCUUACGCAGGUCUUGACAUCCAACUACGAGGAUAGAGAUAUGUCAGUUGCCUUCGGGAAAGUGAGACAGGUGGUGCAUGGUGUCGUCAGCUCGUGUCGUGAGAUGUGGGUUAAGUCCCGCAACGAGCGCAACCCUUGCCAUUAGUUGCUACGCAAGAGCACUCUAAUGGGACCGCUACCGACAAGGUGGAGGAAGGUGGGGACGACGUCAAAUCAUCAUGCCCCUUAUGACCUGGGCUACACACGUAAUACAAUGGCCGUUAACAGAGGGAAGCAAAGCCGCGAGGCAGAGCAAAUCCCUAAAAACGGUCUCAGUUCGGAUCGCAGGCUGCCCCGCCUGAAAGAAGUUGGAAUUGCUAGUAAUCGCGGAUCAGCAUGCCGCGGUGAAUACGUUCCCGGGUCUUGUACACACCGCCCGUCACACCAUGGGAGUUUGUAACACCCGAAGUCUGUAGUCUAACCGCAAGGAGGACGCAGCCGAAGGCAGGUCUGAUAACUGGGGUGAAGUCGUAACAAGGUAGCCGUAUCGGAAGGUGC
RNAcentral lists this ribosomal RNA (674 nucleotides) under uncultured bacterium. RNAcentral's name for it is "bacterial SSU rRNA". It matches the Rfam family "Bacterial small subunit ribosomal RNA", at positions 875 to 1515 of the family's 1533-position model. The record is from RNAcentral.